This 820-nucleotide ribosomal RNA is filed under the name uncultured bacterium. RNAcentral's name for it is "bacterial SSU rRNA". It matches the Rfam family "Bacterial small subunit ribosomal RNA", at positions 28 to 895 of the family's 1533-position model. The record is from RNAcentral.
AACGAACGCUGGCGGCACGCCUAACACAUGCAAGUCGAGCGCUACCUUCGGGUGGAGCGGCGGACGGGUUAGUAACGCGUGGGAACAUACCCAACACUACGGAAUAGCCUUUGGAAACGAAGAGUAAUACCGUAUACGCCCUUCGGGGGAAAGAUUUAUCGGUGAUGGAUUGGCCCGCGUUAGAUUAGAUAGUUGGUGGGGUAACGGCCUACCAAGUCUACGAUCUAUAGCUGGUUUGAGAGGAUGAUCAGCAACACUGGGACUGAGACACGGCCCAGACUCCUACGGGAGGCAGCAGUGGGGAAUCUUAGACAAUGGGCGCAAGCCUGAUCUAGCGAUGCCGCGUGAGUGACGAAGGCCCUAGGGUCGUAAAGCUCUUUCGCCAGGGAUGAUAAUGACAGUACCUGGUAAAGAAACCCCGGCUAACUCCGUGCCAGCAGCCGCGGUAAUACGGAGGGGGUUAGCGUUGUUCGGAAUUACUGGGCGUAAAGCGCACGUAGGCGGAUUAGAAAGUAGGGGGUGAAAUCCCGGGGCUCAACCCCGGAACUGCCUUCUAAACUACUAGUCUAGAGUUCGAGAGAGGUGAGUGGAAUUCCAAGUGUAGAGGUGAAAUUCGUAGAUAUUUGGAGGAACACCAGUGGCGAAGGCGGCUCACUGGCUCGAUACUGACGCUGAGGUGCGAAAGUGUGGGGAGCAAACAGGAUUAGAUACCCUGGUAGUCCACACCGUAAACGAUGAAUGCCAGACGUCAGGGGGCUUGCCCUUUGGUGUCACACCUAACGGAUUAAGCAUUCCGCCUGGGGAGUACGGUCGCAAGAUU